ACGGGGUGCAGCAGGCGCGAAAACUUGGCAAUGCGAGAAAUCGUGACCAGGGAACUCCAAGUGCAUCGGGUAAGACCGAUGCUUUUCUUGACUCUUCAAAGGUCUUGGAAUAAGGGGUGGGUAAGGACGGUGCCAGCCGCCGCGGUAAUACCGGCGCCUCAAGUGGUAGUCGCUUUUAUUGGGCCUAAAACGUCCGUAGCCGGUUUGGUACAUUCGUGGGUAAAUCAAGGCGCUCAACGUCUUGAAUUCUGCGAGCACGGCCAGACUUGGGACCGGGUGAGGUGUGGGGUACUCUCAGGGUAGGGGUAAAAUCCUGUCAUCCUGAGAGGACCACCUGUUGCGAAGGCGCCACACUAGAACGGAUCCGACGGUCAGGGACGAAGCCUAGGGGCACGAACCGGAUUAGAUACCCGGGUAGUCCUAGGUGUAAACGCUGUGGACUUGAUGUUGGGAGUGCUCCGAGCACCCUCAGUGUCGAAGCGAAGGUGAUAAGUCCACUGCCUGGGGAGUACGGGCGCAAGGGUGAAACUUAAAGGAAUUGGCGGGGGAGCAC
This 553-nucleotide ribosomal RNA is filed under the name uncultured archaeon. RNAcentral describes it as "bacterial SSU rRNA". It matches the Rfam family "Archaeal small subunit ribosomal RNA", at positions 325 to 879 of the family's 1478-position model. The record is from RNAcentral.